This 497-nucleotide ribosomal RNA is filed under the name uncultured bacterium. RNAcentral describes it as "partial 16S ribosomal RNA". It matches the Rfam family "Bacterial small subunit ribosomal RNA", at positions 28 to 507 of the family's 1533-position model. The record is from RNAcentral.
GACGAACGCUGGCGGCGUGCCUAAUACAUGCAAGUUGAGCGCUGAAGGUUGGUACUUGUACCAACUGGAUGAGCAGCGAACGGGUGAGUAACGCGUGGGGAAUCUGCCUUUGAGCGGGGGACAGCAUUUGGAAACGAAUGCUAAUACCGCAUAAAAACUUUAAACACAAGUUUUAAGUUUGAAAGAUGCAAUUGCAUCACUCAAAGAUGAUCCCGCGUUGUAUUAGCUAGUUGGUGAGGUAAAGGCUCACCAAGGCGAUGAUACAUAGCCGACCUGAGAGGGUGAUCGGCCACAUUGGGACUGGGACACGGCCCAAACUCCUACGGGAGGCAGCAGUAGGGAAUCUUCGGCAAUGGACGAAAGUCUGACCGAGCAACGCCGCGUGAGUGAAGAAGGUUUUCGGAUCGUAAAACUCUGUUGGUAGAGAAGAACGUUGGUGAGAGUGGAAAGCUCAUCAAGUGACGGUAACUACCCAGAAAGGGACGGCUAACUACGUG